UCCUGUCAAAGCAGCAGGUUGAAGGAUGA
Molecule: non-coding RNA, 29 nt
Filed under: Homo sapiens (human)
Lineage: Eukaryota; Metazoa; Chordata; Mammalia; Primates; Hominidae
Source: RNAcentral